GUCCCCACUUUCACUUUGCCACAAGGGAAAUAUAGUUUCCUUGAUGGUCAUUCAUGUGGGGUAGAAUAUCCAUCCUUUCACAGCUUAGGCAAACAGAACCUGGGUUUGCACUGAGGCCUGUCAAAGGAGACAUGU
Small nucleolar RNA from Conger conger (European conger), 135 nucleotides. RefSeq annotates it as small nucleolar RNA SNORA27. The record is from RefSeq and is a predicted model, not a curated record. NCBI's taxonomy places the organism in Eukaryota, Metazoa, Chordata, Actinopteri, Anguilliformes, Congridae. The transcript has a single exon.